RNAcentral lists this ribosomal RNA (1272 nucleotides) under Vibrio parahaemolyticus. RNAcentral describes it as "partial 23S ribosomal RNA". It matches the Rfam family "Bacterial large subunit ribosomal RNA", at positions 1694 to 2925 of the family's 2925-position model. The record is from RNAcentral. Lineage: Bacteria; Pseudomonadati; Pseudomonadota; Gammaproteobacteria; Vibrionales; Vibrionaceae.
GAGAACUCGGGUGAAGGAACUAGGCAAAAUGGUACCGUAACUUCGGGAGAAGGUACGCUCUUGAUGGUGAAGUCCCUCGCGGAUGGAGCUGACGAGAGUCGCAGAUACCAGGUGGCUGCAACUGUUUAUUAAAAACACAGCACUGUGCAAAAUCGUAAGAUGACGUAUACGGUGUGACGCCUGCCCGGUGCCGGAAGGUUAAUUGAUGGGGUUAGACUUCGGUCGAAGCUCUUGAUCGAAGCCCCGGUAAACGGCGGCCGUAACUAUAACGGUCCUAAGGUAGCGAAAUUCCUUGUCGGGUAAGUUCCGACCUGCACGAAUGGCGUAAUGAUGGCCACGCUGUCUCCACCCGAGACUCAGUGAAAUUGAAAUCGCUGUGAAGAUGCAGUGUACCCGCGGCUAGACGGAAAGACCCCGUGAACCUUUACUACAGCUUGGCACUGAACAUUGACCCUACAUGUGUAGGAUAGGUGGGAGGCUUUGAAGCACGUACGCCAGUAUGUGUGGAGCCGUCCUUGAAAUACCACCCUUGUAGUGUUGAUGUUCUAACGUCGACCCCUAAUCGGGGUUGCGGACAGUGCCUGGUGGGUAGUUUGACUGGGGCGGUCUCCUCCCAAAGAGUAACGGAGGAGCACGAAGGUGGGCUAAUCACGGUUGGACAUCGUGAGGUUAGUGCAAUGGCAUAAGCCCGCUUGACUGCGAGAAUGACAAUUCGAGCAGGUGCGAAAGCAGGUCAUAGUGAUCCGGUGGUUCUGAAUGGAAGGGCCAUCGCUCAACGGAUAAAAGGUACUCCGGGGAUAACAGGCUGAUACCGCCCAAGAGUUCAUAUCGACGGCGGUGUUUGGCACCUCGAUGUCGGCUCAUCACAUCCUGGGGCUGAAGUCGGUCCCAAGGGUAUGGCUGUUCGCCAUUUAAAGUGGUACGCGAGCUGGGUUUAGAACGUCGUGAGACAGUUCGGUCCCUAUCUGCCGUGGGCGUUGGAAGAUUGAAGGGGGCUGCUCCUAGUACGAGAGGACCGGAGUGGACGAACCUCUGGUGUUCGGGUUGUGUCGCCAGACGCAUUGCCCGGUAGCUAAGUUCGGAAUCGAUAACCGCUGAAAGCAUCUAAGCGGGAAGCGAGCCCUGAGAUGAGUCUUCCCUGAUACUUUAAGUAUCCUAAAGGGUUGUCGGAGACUACGACGUUGAUAGGUCAGGUGUGUAAGUGCUGUGAGGCAUUGAGCUAACUGAUACUAAUUGCCCGUGAGGCUUAACCAUACAACACCCAAGGGGUUU